Molecule: ribosomal RNA, 253 nt
Filed under: uncultured bacterium
Lineage: Bacteria
Description: partial 16S ribosomal RNA
Rfam family: Bacterial small subunit ribosomal RNA
Source: RNAcentral
UACGGAGGGUGCAAGCGUUAUCCGGAUUCACUGGGUUUAAAGGGUGUGUAGGCGGGUAUUUAAGUCAGUGGUGAAAUCUCCAGGCUCAACCUGGAAACUGCCAUUGAUACUAUUUAUCUUGAAUCUUGUUGAGGUGGGCGGAAUAUAUCAUGUAGCGGUGAAAUGCUUAGAUAUGAUAUAAAACACCGAUUGCGAAGGCAGCUCACUAAACAAGCAUUGACGCUGAGGCACGAAAGCGUGGGGAUCAAACAGG